This is a long non-coding RNA of Manduca sexta (tobacco hornworm), 684 nucleotides long. RefSeq lists it as uncharacterized. Lineage: Eukaryota; Metazoa; Arthropoda; Insecta; Lepidoptera; Sphingidae. The record is from RefSeq and is a predicted model, not a curated record. The transcript has 4 exons.
AAUUUUUUCUGCCAAAUAGAAAUGUCAUUAUCUGUCAAAAUCAUCAAAAUGUUCACAAAAUAGCAAUCAAUGUUUAAUAAAUAAAACGAAUUGUCACAAUGACGUAGCAUUUAAACCUGGCUUUUGAAUUGAUUUAACAAGCAUGGACUGUUGCGGGGGCAGCGAUGGCAUGAAGUGCUGCGAUGACUCCCUGUUUGCAAACCCGAACGUAUUCUACAUCUCCCUGAUACUCCUGAUGCUCAUUGUAUACCUCUCAUGGUCACUGUACGCGUGUCACUAUUGUGGCGAAAGUGCACAAUGCCCACGAUCGAAUUAAUUUAGUCAAAAUCACAAAAUUGAAUCUCCACUGGUAGCUUAUAGCUAUAUCACAACUAACCGGACCGCAAUGAUUGUGGAGUAGAUUAUCAUGAAAUCCCACGAAGUAUAAUGGGUUGUUGCGAAGGCGGUUGCACAAACGACACAUGGGACGUAUUCUAUCAAGAUCACAAGGCGCAUGGUUUUCUGUUAGGACUGGUUUUCAUCGCGUUAUUUCUUGCCUAUCGUCUCUAUCGAUGUCACCACCCAAGACGAAGUCUUCUUUGUUGGUGAAACGAAAAUUGCUCUGAAAGUAAGCGUCUUUGGCCACUUGGAAGAGCUUGGCGCUGUUCUUCUCACCGGUCUCUCGCACCAUGGAUGAGAACUGAC